GCGGGUGGUCAGAUGGAGAACGAUUGGCCUUCCAAGCCGAUGCAGGCGAGUUCGACCCUCGUCGCCCGCUCCA
RNAcentral lists this transfer RNA (73 nucleotides) under Polaromonas sp. RNAcentral describes it as "tRNA-OTHER". Lineage: Bacteria; Pseudomonadati; Pseudomonadota; Betaproteobacteria; Burkholderiales; Comamonadaceae. The record is from RNAcentral.